UGGGGAAUUUUGCGCAAUGGGGGAAACCCUGACGCAGCGACGCCGCGUGCGGGAUGAAGGCCUUCGGGUUGUAAACCGCUUUUGAUUGGGAGCAAGCCUUUUGGGUGAGUGUACCUUUCGAAUAAGCGCCGGCUAACUACGUGCCAGCAGCCGCGGUAAUACGUAGGGCGCAAGCGUUAUCCGGAAUUAUUGGGCGUAAAGCGCGCGCAGGUGGUUUAGAAAGUCUGAUGUGAAAGCCCACGGCUCAACCGUGGAGGGUCAUUGGAAACUAAUAAACUUGAGUGCAGGAGAGAAAAGUGGAAUUCCUAGUGUAGCGGUGAAAUGCGUAGAGAUUAGGAGGAACACCGGUGGCGAAAGCGGCUUUUUGGCCUGCAACUGACACUGAGGCGCGAAAGCGUGGGGAGCAAACAGG
This 412-nucleotide ribosomal RNA is filed under the name Verrucomicrobiota bacterium. RNAcentral's name for it is "Verrucomicrobia bacterium partial 16S ribosomal RNA". It matches the Rfam family "Bacterial small subunit ribosomal RNA", at positions 355 to 776 of the family's 1533-position model. Lineage: Bacteria; Pseudomonadati; Verrucomicrobiota. The record is from RNAcentral.